Regulatory RNA element from Pseudoramibacter alactolyticus ATCC 23263, 149 nucleotides. It matches the Rfam family "glmS glucosamine-6-phosphate activated ribozyme aptamer". Rfam says of the family: This entry contains a glucosamine-6-phosphate activated ribozyme that is found in the mRNA for GlmS. GlmS is an enzyme that uses fructose-6-phosphate and glutamine to generate glucosamine-6-phosphate. NCBI's taxonomy places the organism in Bacteria, Bacillati, Bacillota, Clostridia, Eubacteriales, Eubacteriaceae. The record is from Rfam.
GUCUCAAUUUGAGCGCCAGAACUCAUGCCGGAUCCGCACUGAAUGAGUUGACGAGGUCAGGGAGUAUCGAAAGUUCGGCGGAUGCCCUGGAAUAUCGAUUUGAAAAAGGGGGAGUGAUCCCCUUCACAAAGAAAUCGAAAUAAUCAUAU